UACGAAGGGUGCAAGCGUUACUCGGAAUUACUGGGCGUAAAGCGUGCGUAGGCGGCUCGUUAAGUCUGAUGUGAAAGCCCUGGGCUCAACCUGGGAAUGGCAUUGGAAACUGGCGGGCUAGAGUGCGGGAGAGGGUAGUGGAAUUCCCGGUGUAGCAGUGAAAUGGGUAGAGAUCGGGAGGAACAUCCGUGGCGAAGGCGACUGCCUGGACCAGCACUGACACUGAGGCGCGAAAGCGUGGGGAGCAAACAGG
This 253-nucleotide ribosomal RNA is filed under the name uncultured bacterium. RNAcentral describes it as "partial 16S ribosomal RNA". It matches the Rfam family "Bacterial small subunit ribosomal RNA", at positions 524 to 776 of the family's 1533-position model. The record is from RNAcentral.